Molecule: long non-coding RNA, 2376 nt
Organism: Chenopodium quinoa (quinoa)
Lineage: Eukaryota; Viridiplantae; Streptophyta; Magnoliopsida; Caryophyllales; Amaranthaceae
Exons: 5
Source: RefSeq, a predicted model, not a curated record
AGCUUAGUUGGGUAAAUAGUUUUGCCACGCAUUUACUUUGAAAAUUGUUUCCAAUAAAGGCAUACUUUGGCAAUUCUUCCCUCAUGAAGUCAAUACACUUUGGAAGUCUCUUAUUUACCCCGUCAUCCAGUCGCUCCGUUCAAGUCAUUCACCAACUCUCAACUCCUACAUUCAAUUUCUACCAGUUCAUAUCAAAUCUGCAAAUCUGAAAAAAAAUUCAUCAUCAAUUCAUCUUUUAUUAGGUGAAAUUCUUGUUUGAUGGUUGAAUAUUACCAAGAUUAUUGCUUGAGAGAGCGUGUUGGAAGUGGAGAGAGAUUGUUGCUUGUUUUCCCCUAAAAAAAUUAAGGCAACAAUCUCUCUCCACUACCACCAAGCUCACUAUCAUCGGGCAAAUUUAUAUCUCAAAGAUUAAAGAAGGGAUUGAUGAUCAAUGCAGCGUGAUGAAGUUUUCUGCUUUGAAUGGCAUUGGAUGUAUUACUCCUAAUUAUUUUCUGCUGAUAUUUUGGAGUUCUGACUACCUCCCAUGAACAUUAAUAAAGAUCAGAGCUGUGGAAUGAACUGGAUAUCUAAGGAUAUGUUUGAAGCUCUGGAUGGCGAUUUUGGAGUUAAGUUUACGUUGUAAUGGCUGCAAGACUAUGUGGAACAGAGAAACAUGCAUGCGUAUGAAAAGGAAAGGCGGUCUUUGGAUGAUGGUUUUGAUGAGGAGGCAUAGUAUGCCUGUCUAUUUGCAGCUCUCACUACUAAAGUGAAGUGAUGAGACUUUUAAGUUCUCUAAAUGGUGAUCAUAUUCCGUCCGGGGGUGGUGGUGGUUUCGAGUUGAUUGAAAGCGCCCAAGGUGUGUUGGUGUUGCUAUGCUUGAUGGUUGUGUCCAUUUCAAUUAUAUCCAUGCUUGUAUUUGCAUGUGCUGAUGAUGGUGAACCUAGAAAAAAACGUAGUGGUUAUGUUGGUGGUACCUUUACCAGUGGAUAUGGUGGAGGCAGCGGAGGUGUAGGUGGAGGUUGUGGUUCCGGCGGAGGCGGAGGAUGUGGUGGGGGUGGGGGUGGAGGAUGUGGAGGUGGCAGUUGCUAAAAGUAUUAAACAUCAAACUUCAAUUCGACUCAACAAUAAUCGGUUUCUUUUCUAUAAACCUUUCUUUGCACUUGUUUUUAGAUAUAUCAAUAAGUGCUUUGUUUGGGUUUGUGUGGAAGUGUUUGUAAGGUGGUGGUUGCUACAUGCUAAGGCGUCCAAACGUUACUAAGGUUACUUUUUAUUUUAUUUUAUUUGGUGUGCCUCAAGUUUUAGUAUGUGAAAAGAAUUAAUGUGUAUAAUGAUAUAUAUAUUGACAAUACAAACGUAAACUAUAAUAAAUUUAUGUUAUAGCUCUAUAUAUGAUAUGUUUAGAUGAUAAUUUAUACUCCGUAUUUCUUUUAUUCCAAAUACUCUGUUGGUGAUAAUGGUAAAGGAUGACUCUCUCAAUUAUCUACCCUUUCCCUCUUAAUAUUAUUUAUUGUUUGGGCAUUAACUUGGGCGUUAGAGGCUCGCUCUUAAUUCAUUUUGAUGAAGCCAUUUAUAACCCGGACUCAAGAACCACAAGCAUCCAUGCCUUCAACGCGGCAUUCUGAAAUAAUCUGUGGAAAAAUCAACCCUGCCUCAGUCUAAGUAGACUUUUAUUGCUUAACAACAAAGUAUACUUAAUUAAUUACUUAAGAAAUGUAAUCAUACAAGUUAUAAUUAUUUUAUGAAUGGUUAAUACUUUUCCUAUAAAUACAUGUACCCUUUGCCUGCUAGAGGAGACCCUGAAAUUCUUUUAGGAAGAAAAAUCAACAGAGAAAAGUGAUGAGGCUAUUGAGUUCUUUUCAGCAUGCCCCGUAUGGGGUUGGCGGUUUCGAGCUGCUCGGAAGCGUUGGUGGUAUGUUGGCAUUGCUCGGUUUGAUGGUUAUGUCCGUUUCAAUUAUUUCCAUGCUCGUAUUUGCGUGUGCUGAUGAUGGUAACGAUACACCAAAAAAACACCGUCGUAAGAGUCAUACUAGUGGUGGUGGAUUCGUUUUUGGUGGUUAUGGAGGUGGAGGUGGGUGUGGGGGCGGAGGUGGAGGCGGCGGCGGCGGUUGUUAAUAAACGUACAUAUUCAUGCUAAAAUAUUGAUCUUCGUCACUUUUCAUGAGAGUUCUCCUUCUUUGCAUUUGUUCCUCCUAUAUACCUCUUCAUUUAUACUUUGUACAUGUGUAGUAAAACUUGUAAUUCGUGACUAUUGUGAGGAAUAAUAUUUGUACCGACUAAUGAAGCAAUUUAAGUCUGUAUGUUGUGUAAGUGAUUUUGCAGUGUGAAAAAAAUUAUUGUGUAUAAGUCAAGAAAGAAUAUGUAAAUUAUAAUACUUUUUUCGGUUUUUGUUAGUUGAUA